This 433-nucleotide ribosomal RNA is filed under the name uncultured bacterium. Its description in RNAcentral is "partial 16S ribosomal RNA". It matches the Rfam family "Bacterial small subunit ribosomal RNA", at positions 29 to 507 of the family's 1533-position model. The record is from RNAcentral.
AACGAACGCUGGCGGCAUGCCUAACACAUGCAAGUCGAACGAGACCUUCGGGUCUAGUGGCGCACGGGUGCGUAACGCGUGGGAACCUGCCUUUAGGUUCGGAAUAACUCAGAGAAAUUUGAGCUAAUACCGGAUGAUGUCUUCGGACCAAAGAUUUAUCGCCUUUAGAUGGGCCCGCGUUGGAUUAGCUAGUUGGUGGGGUAAAGGCCUACCAAGGCGACGAUCCAUAGCUGGUCUGAGAGGAUGAUCAGCCACACUGGGACUGAGACACGGCCCAGACUCCUACGGGAGGAAGCAGUGGGGAAUAUUGGACAAGGGGCGAAAGCCUGAUCCAGCAAUGCCGCGUGAGUGAUGAAGGCCUUAGGGUUGUAAAGCUCUUUUACCCGAGAUGAUAAUGACAGUAUCGGGAGAAUAAGCGCCGGCUAACUCCGUG